UUUUGAAACGCUUGACGGCGGCGAGAAGCUCAUUUCGCUUGCGCUCGUCUUCGGUGGCUGAACCUGUGCAGGGCCUAGGAACGUUUUAUAUUAAUUCAAAAUGUCCAAAAUGCAGCGGACAAUCUGUGUUAUAUUACUCUCUUUCGUCUUUGCUUACGACCAUAAGCAGGCGGUCUGAUAUAGUCACGUGGCGGCAAUGACUUCUGCAGUCAGUGGGGUCGUGGGCAGCCAUUUUCAAUUUACUACGCAUUGUAUUUGAGGCAAUAAAGUAUUAACAUGAAAGGAAAUAGCUGCACCGGGCAAUUUUUUUCUGCUUGUUUUCCUUUGUGCCUCAGUGGACUAAGGGCCUUACAUGAAAAAUUCAAACCCAGCUUUUUGAUUUUCAAGUGUGCAGAUCAGGAUUCCUAAUGUCGAACAUUGCCCUGUUAUGGCUUUUCAAAGGAUGAGCAAGUGGAAGAACAUUUGCUGAAUGAACUGAUCAACACCUGGGCUCGUGAUGAGAAAUGGAUUGAUUCAUCGUCAGUAUGGAAAAGCUGCUCCAAGGAAAAUGUCUUACCUCAUCAAAAGCUGAACUGCACAGUGUAGAGAAAGGUUUCCUUUUGGGCUGAUGUACAGAGAGGAUUCUACCAGCGUUUAAAAAAAGAUUCUUGUUAAGCUGCUGACACAGGUAACUUAACUUAUUUCAAAUGAAUUAACAAAUCAUGCAAAUAUCUUGUAGUACAGACAUCCUCAUAGAUCAAUGUGGACCUCUUUUUAGUUAUCAGGUGCACAGCUAAAUGAGUGAACAUUUUUUGUGCACACUGCACUUCAGUGAAUGCUGGCCUUUUAUGUUACAACAGAUUUAGGUGAAGUAUUGUCAUCUGUAAUAGUUGAAAUGAAAAGUUACUAGCUGUGCAUUGGCUGACAAAAGAGAAAAUAAGUGCAUAUGUGCUACUAUGUUAUGUUAUACUAUGUGCCAACACAUUUAACAUUUAUUCAUGAUUCUGUGGUGUAUUAGGAUUCACCUUCAAUUUUAAAAAGUCGCUAAGCGAUAUGUACAAUACUUAGUAUAUCUGCAUAAGUUAAGUUAUAUUUUGACUUGUGCUUAAGCAUUUUUGUGAAAGAAACAUCACAGCAAGAAGGAGUGAAUUUGUAUUCGCAGCUGCAGAAAUAGCUAGGGUACAAAAAUGCUGAUGUCCAUGACUUGUCUUUGAUAUGUAAGAUAUUAAGGGUCCAUGGCAUUUUUAUCCUCCCACGGCAGUUGUACUCAUUACUGUGUUCGGUUUUUUUUUUGUUUUUUUUUUUUUGUUUUUUCCUCCAUUGUGAAAUGGUCUUCUUGCUUCUAUUCGCCCCCAGUGGAGCAUGGGGCCACAAUGUGAUACAUAAAGAUAACUUAUUGAGAGGAGGCAUUGUUUUUUUAGAUACUAGUUAAUUGGAAAAUUUAAUUUUGUAGUAUUUUUUCCUCUUGCUUUAAAUUAACUUCUUCUGAAAGUUGUUCUUUUCUUGCUCAUUCCUUUCAUCUUGCUGCGUUCUUGUAAGGUUCAGUACAUCUCAUCUAAUCAAGGUGUGGGGAAGUUUUAGUGUGGUACAUGUUAUCAUUGUUUGUCCUGAGCUCCAGCCUAUCCGUUCGUAGUUUCUUAAAGAAAAUUCUGUUUUCUUUGUUCAGGUCCGUCCCAUUAACAGCAAUCUUUACAUUUUUAAGGGGGAUAGAACUUUACCAUCAAAUUUAAGAAUUGAUAAUUGUUUGCUCUUGACUUGUUGGUGGCCUUUUUGGGUUUCACCACUCCUUUUUAUACUUGACCCACUCUUUUACAUCUUGUUUUUUUCUCGCAUUUACUUUUUAAAUGUUAAGGUUAUAUCACUCCAGAGGUUUAUAGGAACACAUUUUGAUCUUUGAAAACUAAAAGAAAUGCACACACAUUGUUCUUGUCCAUAGAAAUUCACAAAUGAUGCCAGAAUUCUAAAAAUCCGAGGAACUAGCCGCACAUUUCUCGUAUAUCAUCUCGCCAUUUUUUUUCAAGGGGAAAAGAAAGGUUACUCUGGGAAAUUGACUCAAGGGAAGUAAUUGUGUUCAGAAAUCCCUAAGCUAUCGUAACUAAGCAAUUUCUUUACUUAAAAAAAAAAAAAAAAAAAAGAGCGCUGUAAACGCUUUAAAAAAAAACAAAAACAAAACAAAAACAUGAUGGCAUGCACGCCUGUUGCGCGGAGGAGGACUGUGCGCGGGUGCGGGCCUAGGAUCCCGUCGAGCGGGAAGCCCGGUGUCAUGCCAGCGUGCCAUCGACUAGACAACGAGAUGUACGAAAUCCGCCGCAAGAUACUACAGAACUGAUCGCGUGAGACUAAAUAAGAGAGGCACACAAGGCAGCGAAAUACAGGUGCUUUCCAAUUGCUUCCGACUGACAACAGCUCCAGAUUGGAGCCUGUAUCAGCAUCGUGUGGACUUCACCAACAGAAAGCAACAAACUGAAGCAAGCACUUCUGGCUCCUCAUAAGGAGAUUUUAGAACUAGUGCAGGUUUGUUGUUAUGCUAAGAUUACCUUUUGUUGCUGUGUUACAGCCCUAGUUACUGGUACGGCAUUAAACACAAACCAUGAUAUACUAAUGUCCAUGUAAGAGACAUGGAUAACAUACAAGGGACAGGAAAUCAAAGGAAUAACACAUCAACUAAUAAAGAAUAAACAACAGCGCACCAAUGAUAAACAAAAGCAAGUACAGAAUCCGCAAAGAGGAACCAAAUAUGUCCCAUGGGCAGGGUUAGAAUUGGACACAAUUCUGUUUGGCCAUGUGAUCUGUCAGAUCUUCUCAAAGUUUGUACUUUGAAGUACUCUGGGUGUGUUAGGGUAUGACUGCUUGCAUAUAUUUUGGUCUUUAUGGUGGCCUUGCAAUGUGGGUUAUAUCCAGUCCAUGUGAGGAUUAGGUGUACUUUUCUCUCAAUGACAGUCCACAAUUGUGUGUCUACUAAUCUCUUUCACUUCUUGCUGCUUGCUCACUAUUUUCAUAGUUUCAUUAUUGCUUAUACGGAAAGAUAUGCCAAUGUCUUUUGUCACGGCAUCGAUACUGAUAUUCAUAAUGUUGCUCCUUUACUGUCCAUUUUCAGUUUUUUUUCUGUCUCCACUGCAUAGAGCACACCCCCAUUGGAAUUGAUUGUGUACUGUAUAAAUCCUUCAGUUAUUGUUAGUACCUUUAUUUUCAAAUAAUCGAGACUGCCAUCACAUCCUUGGUGGUCCAUCAUGUGGUGAGUGAAUAGUCUUAUUCCAUCUGAAUGUGCACUAUGCCCACCAUUGACAGAAAAUGCGCCUGUAACACUUAGAAACUUAAUAGCAUGGCAGUUAUAAGUUGCAAUACUUUCGCAGUGUAAGCCCUCAUGCAUCAUCAUUGUCAGUCAUUAAUAUAUCAAUUGUGCUUUGCACUUUACACGUGAAAUAAAACAAUGUAAUUUUAAUUUACCUUUUGCAUAUUAAGAGGUAGAUAAAAUAGGCUGGGUCACAUGGUGCGCAUGGAAAUCCACCACUUUCAAAAAAUCAUUAAACAAAGAGAUAGAAAAAUUUUUUAAAUGAUAAUAAGAGAACAAAAUUAAACAAAAAUAUUUCUACCUGAAUCCUGCAUGGAUAGAAUAAUCCUGUGUCACUGUCAUUACCUCCCACCUCCAUUUCAUCUUUAGAACUGUCGAAUACCAUAUCGCAGGCCUCGCGCAACAUGUACCAUCUCGCCAUGUUUCCGAACGAAAAAGAACGGGCAGUAUGGGAAAUUUCCGGGAAUUCUCGUAAACGCACUUCCUUUCACGUGAAAGGGAGAUAAUUUUGUUCAGAUAUGAUUAUUCUAGCUGAAUUAUGCAUUUUUUCUCGUAAAUUACGAGUUGUACAUGUCUUUAAAAAAUAUAACAAUGCAUCCAUCACGGUUGGGUGACGCGCAAGCCUAAAGAAGCCGUUUGAAUCCCACCGGUGUCCUACACGCUGUGAAAGUGUUUUAAAACGAAAAAAGAAAAUAAGCCAUACUCACAAACCACUGAACCAAACAUGCACCGGCAUUACUAGCUCUUACAAAUAUUACAUAACAAGCGCUUGGGCACCUUACUUUCUGUUAUCUACAUGCAUUGGCAAUGAAGCCAUUUGGUGCAUGAAUCACGUGCAAUCAUUGCCUUCUCUGCAUUGUUGGGUUGUCUGCAGAUGCAGAACACUUCCUCCUGCAGUUCCUUACCAGUUCCUUUCUAGGCCAAGGUUGCACAGGAAAUAUGGGCAAAUGCAAGAGCAAACAACCCACGUUACAGACCCCUGCUGUUUCUUUACAUUAACAAAUUUAAUUGUAAUGUACUAGGCAUCUGUAAAUAGAAGCCAGCCUAACUGCUUUACUAAUUUUUCCUUACACUCCUCUCUCACUGUGUUAAAAAAAAAUCAUCAACCCUUAUCUCACCUGGUUCAAAGCAAUGAAUGUUACUCACCAUAACUUAGUGGUUAUCUACGUUUAAAACCUGCACAAAUUUUCUUCUUGGCGUUCCCACACGCUGGCAUUCUUCCGAUUGAAAGACAGCCAGCAUUUGUAGGCCAUCAACUGGAGGAAACUGCUCCUUCAAAAGAGCUGAGAAAUGGUCGAUAUGGAGAUCCGUAAGUUCUCUCUUCGUGUCGAGUGUCCUCUUUAUUUCGGCAAUGCUCUGUGUUUGUCUCAUAGCAGGAACUAUUGGCAGUGGUGCUGCUUAGGCCCAAUCGUCCUGGAAAAAACAUCGUCAUCGUGUGUUGGCACAGACUUUCGUGUCUUUCCUCUCUUACUAUCUAAACCAGAGUCUCCAUUAGUGACAUCAGUAAGGGUGAGAUUAGCUGCCAUAAACAGUAAAUCCAUCCCAGUGUUCUCCCGAGUUGUGGCACAAGGCAAGUGUUCCUUGCUCUUCAAGUUUCCUCAGGUUAUCUGAAACAAAAACUGUAUCAUUAUUGGAACCAUUUAAUAUCUUAAAUCAUUUUGUCUUUCUCACUACCUCUGGGGGUACAUUGUGUUACCCUCUUUGCAGUCCUCUUGUCCAAGGAGUUAUAUGUUCCACGCUGCUUUCUUGGGUUUGUCUCCGCUGCAAUAAAAUCAUCAUUAUAAUUAUCUACAUUACCUACUCCCAUGUGCAGUAUCGAUGUGCGCUGUGCUGUGCAGAAUUCUGAGCAGCCACCGGUACUUGCUCAACUUUUUCCUUACUGACGUGAGUCGUUAUGAGACCUCCCAGAUAGGUCUAAAGUUGGUCAUAUGGUACCCGCGCUCGUAACAGCUCUCCAUUGCCUCCCUCCUUGGCCAGUUGUACUCUGUUGUGUGUGUUUAUGUCCAGGAUCCUGUCACAGAAAUACAAUAAUAGCCCAAAACUUUAAAGAUUGGAAAAAGAACUGCUAAAUCAUUCUUGCUAGCAGUAAAAGAAAAUCCAUAAAUGAAACAAUUACAAAAGUACCUGUUAGCUGCCAAGAACCGAAACAGUGCUCUAAAAUUUUUUUAGCUGUAGCCAACCACUUUUAUUUCCAGGUAUGUAUGCAUAAAGACUUAUACAAAUAUGUAGUUUGUGCCUAAAUAGCAGUGAUACCUGAAAGGGCCAAUCCAAGGUUUGUCCAAAGCAUCACCACAUCUUCCUUUGUUUCUGACAUUUUGUCUUACAACAAGAUCCCCAACCUUCAAGUCAAAGGUUUUUAUGUCUUUUGAAAUCCGCUUUUUAUAGGCCUUCCUCAGUUUCUUGCUCGCAUGGUCCUGGUUUUCCAUGACCUGUGGAAAAACUAUAUUUGUCAGCUCAUUCCUUUCAGAACAGUAUUUCACUCGCUCCUGGUUACAUGCUGCAGCUAAAAGCAAUUUCUUGGUAAAUAGUUGGGUACUGCCUCUUCCUCAUUUCGGGGUCAUCGUGGUCUGCAGAUAUCGUGUCCAAUAAUGGUUCUUCAUCAUCUUUUGGCUCUUCCUCGCCACUGGGGAUUAAUACCACACCUGUGUCUUUGUCUGCUUCCUCCAUUUGCAAUAGACAGUUACAUAGCUAACUUAAGCUUGUUAUCCAGCAUAUUCCAUUUCAUGCACUACUUGUUGUUAAAUUGCAUAAAUGGUUCAUAACUAAUGGUUAAUAACAAGGAUAAUUAAUCAAAUUACAAAAAAAGGGGGAAGAGAAACUCACAUCGAAUAUCUAGGCUGGCGCCCAAACAUCAGAAAGAAUGGCGAAUACUUGGUAGAUGUUUGUUUUUGACAUCUGUAGAGGGCCGGCGCUUGUUAGGUUUUGGAGUAAGUGCUGAUGCGGACGCAUGUGAGAAAAGUGCUGAUGCAUGCGAUUGCAAGGAUCGCCCAGUUUACCGAAAUGGGAAGAAUAGAUGAUCAGAGAGAGCGCAGACAUGUGACAGUAGGCGACAGCCUGACUUAGCGCCUCUGGCGAUGUGGAGCAGCCGUGGCCAUUGUGCAAGCAUGUGUAAUAAAGGUUCGCACACCCGCUGACAGUUCCUGCCUUUUGGUUGAGUGUUGGACUGUUGUGGUCACUGUUUGACUACCUUACCACUCGGUUACACAUCUAGUGGUAACAGAAACAUCUUUCACUACUUCAUCCCAGUCGCAAUUGUGCUGUUCCACCAUUUUCGAACAACAGGUCUUGACUGUUUUAUUCAUACGUUCCACAAGACCAUUAGUUUGCGGGUGGUAUGCAGAAGACGCACUUUUUUUAAUGUUUAACCUCCGGCACAGCUCCGUAUUAGCCCGUUACCUUGUGACAUGCAGUUAGUCCUUUCAAGUCUCUAGCUAUGAAAGUUAUGUGUGCUAAAGCGCUGUUAAUAAUCUUUAAAUAUUAAUUUUUAAAAAGGGAUAAUGCAAUGCAACACAGAAACGGUCACAUUGCAACUAUACUUGUGUUGCCACAGCUACAAUUUAAUAGCACAAUAUAUACCACUGAUACUACAGUUACGUUUGGAACACCAGAAAAAAAUGAAUGAAGGAUGACAGGGGAGAGAAAAGAUUUGGUUCACGAUUCUAUUCCCUAUCUCCCGUCCAUCUGUAACUUGACUCAUUAACGUCCAGAAUCUGCGUUGUCAAUCUCUCCAGUAACAGAGUUACUCCAGUCGUAAUGUGUGAACUGGAAAACCCUUUAUUUACACUAUGUACAUCCGUUCUCACUGUAAUAUACACUCGGCGACUCCUGCCGGUAACUAACAACAGCGACACACGCUGUUACUUCAACUAAUAACACACGCUAUGCGUUGUGGCGAUACUUCAACUGCACAACGCCGAUAACAUCA
This 7196-nucleotide long non-coding RNA is filed under the name Pomacea canaliculata. RNAcentral's name for it is "uncharacterized LOC112563523". Lineage: Eukaryota; Metazoa; Mollusca; Gastropoda; Architaenioglossa; Ampullariidae. The record is from RNAcentral.